RNAcentral lists this ribosomal RNA (781 nucleotides) under Pristimantis dorsopictus. Its description in RNAcentral is "partial 12S ribosomal RNA". It matches the Rfam family "Bacterial small subunit ribosomal RNA", at positions 419 to 1451 of the family's 1533-position model. The record is from RNAcentral. Lineage: Eukaryota; Metazoa; Chordata; Amphibia; Anura; Strabomantidae.
GCUGAUAUCAGGCACUUUAAUUUGCCCAAGACAUCUAGUCAUGCCACGCCCACAAGGGCCUUCAGCAGUGAUCAACAUUAAAAAUAAACGUCAGUUUGAUUUAGCCAAUAAAUACAGAGCCGGCCAAUCUGGUGCCAGCCGCCGCGGUUACACCACGUGGCUCAAAUUGAUUUUAUCCGGCGUAAAGCGUGAUUAAAGAGAACAACCCCAUGGGGUUAAACUUGAACUAAGCCGUAACACGCUUGUCUUAAAGAAAACCAUACCUUAAGGUACCCCAAUUCACCAACUUGAACUCACAAUAACUAGAAAACAAACUGGGAUUAGAUACCCCACUAUGCCUAGUUGUAAACCAUAACUUACACCAACAUCGCCUGGGAACUACGAGCAAAGCUUAAAACCCAAAGGACUUGACGGUGCCCCACAUCCCCCUAGAGGAGCCUGUCCUAUAAUCGAUACCCCCCGUUCAACCUCACCAUUUUUAGUUUUUCAGCCUGUAUACUUCCGUCGCCAGCUUACCGCAUGAGCGAAACAGUAAGCUUAAUGAUUACCCACCAAAACGUCAGGUCAAAGUGCAGCAAAUAAGGUGGAAAGAGAUGGGCUACACUCUCUACUUUAGAGAAUACAAAAAACUGCAUGAAACCACAGUUGGAAAGCGGAUUUAGUAGUAAGAAAAAAUAGAAUAUUUCUCUUAACUCGGCACUGGGGUGUGUACACACCGCCCGUCACCCUCUUCAACACAACACCUUAGUACAUAACAAUACUACCCCAAAUAGAAGAGGUA